ACUGAGUGGCGACGGGUGAAUAACGCGUGGGUAAACCUGCCCUGUACAGGGGGACAACAGUUAGAAAUGACUGCUAAUACCGCAUAAGCGCACAGGAACCGCAUGGUCCGGUGUGAAAAACUCCGGUGGUACAGGAUGGACCCGCGUCUGAUUAGGUAGUUGGCGGGGUAACGGCCCACCAAGCCGACGAUCAGUAGCCGACCUGAGAGGGUGACCGGCCACAUUGGGACUGAGACACGGCCCAAACUCCUACGGAAGGCAGCAG
This 265-nucleotide ribosomal RNA is filed under the name uncultured bacterium. RNAcentral describes it as "partial 16S ribosomal RNA". It matches the Rfam family "Bacterial small subunit ribosomal RNA", at positions 90 to 354 of the family's 1533-position model. The record is from RNAcentral.